GGGUCCUCAUCGUUCAGCUUAAUGAGAAAAAUCUUUGUGCAGAAUUACAGGCGGACCUUGGAUCUUCUUCUCUGUUCUGUAAUCCCUGCUCUGUCAUCAGGAUUACAGCUCACUGCUGUACAGGAUUAAUGACUGACAACUCUACACUCCUCACACAGAGCCAAGGAAGGGAGAUGGGGAAAGGCCUCUUGGAUGUGUGGUCGUCAAGCAGCUGUGGCUUAAUUUUGUGAGACGAGCCCCGGAGCGUACAGGACAAGUGGGUUUGCAAAGCCAUCUGGGGGACCAUGAUGCACUGCUUCUGCAUCUUCUUGUGUUGGGUUGCAUAAUGUUUCGGGUCCUGCAUCGCUUGAGGUCAACAGGCGUUUCAUCCCAAUAGAUGUAUUGGCAUGCAGAACAGUUGUUCGUUGAAACACCAUUGUGUCACAACCACAGUCUUACUAAAGUUCAAGUGAUUAUUCACUCAUAAUAUAUGCCACCCAGCGCAUACUUUUCCAUUGCGACUUGCAAUAAAGUAAGUACUAGUGCUAUAGGUGCUAUAUACUUGUGUUCAUCCUGUUAAAAGUCAAUGAGAGCAUAAAGGACAUAAAGCAAACAAAUUGUGGUAAAA
Molecule: non-coding RNA, 607 nt
Organism: Oncorhynchus mykiss (rainbow trout)
Lineage: Eukaryota; Metazoa; Chordata; Actinopteri; Salmoniformes; Salmonidae
Source: RefSeq, a predicted model, not a curated record